AGGGUGCAAGCGUUGUUCGGAAUUAUUGGGCGUAAAGCGCGUGUAGGCGGCUUUGCAAGUCGGGUGUGAAAGCCCUCAGCUCAACUGAGGAAGUGCGCCCGAAACUGCAAGGCUCGAGUACCGGAGAGGAUGGCGGAAUUCCCCAAGUAGAGGUGAAAUUCGUAGAUAUGGGGAGGAACACCGGUGGCGAAGGCGGCCAUCUGGACGGAUACUGACGCUGAGACGCGAAAGCGUGGGUAGCAAACAGGACUAGAUACCCUGGUAGUCCACGCUGUAAACGAUGAGAACUAGGUGUCGUGGGUGUUGACCCCCGCGGUGCCGUAGCUAACGCAUUAAGUUCUCCGCCUGGGAAGUACGGCCGCAAGGCUAAAACUCAAAGGAAUUGACGGGGGCCCGCACAAGCGGUGGAGCAUGUGGUUUAAUUCGACGCAACGCGAAGAACCUUACCUGGGCUUGACAUG
RNAcentral lists this ribosomal RNA (461 nucleotides) under uncultured Myxococcales bacterium. RNAcentral describes it as "bacterial SSU rRNA". It matches the Rfam family "Bacterial small subunit ribosomal RNA", at positions 529 to 988 of the family's 1533-position model. The record is from RNAcentral. Lineage: Bacteria; Pseudomonadati; Myxococcota; Myxococcia; Myxococcales.